AUGGCGACCAUGGACGAGCACAGAAGCGGUGGCAAAGGACACCGAUCGAAGGGGGAAAAUAGGGGGAGUGGGAGAGGAGCUCAUCACGGGGAGGAUGGUGCGCUCGGGGAGGUCGGGGAGAGCUUGAUGGCGACGGAUUUGACGAAGGUGGCCGACCUCCUGAGGUUGAAGAAGACGAUCAAGGCGAUUUUACAUCUUCGUUUUGGACCAUUUGUUGGAGUUGCUCUUUUACAUCUCUGA
This 240-nucleotide ribosomal RNA is filed under the name Triticum aestivum (bread wheat). RNAcentral's name for it is "partial small subunit ribosomal RNA". Lineage: Eukaryota; Viridiplantae; Streptophyta; Magnoliopsida; Poales; Poaceae. The record is from RNAcentral.